AAAUUGAAGAGUUUGAUCAUGGCUCAGAUUGAACGCUGGCGGCAGGCCUAACACAUGCAAGUCGAACGGUAGCACAGAGAGCUUGCUCUCGGGUGACGAGUGGCGGACGGGUGAGUAAUGUCUGGGAAACUGCCCGAUGGAGGGGGAUAACUACUGGAAACGGUAGCUAAUACCGCAUAACGUCGCAAGACCAAAGUGGGGGACCUUCGGGCCUCACACCAUCGGAUGUGCCCAGAUGGGAUUAGCUAGUAGGUGGGGUAACGGCUCACCUAGGCGACGAUCCCUAGCUGGUCUGAGAGGAUGACCAGCCACACUGGAACUGAGACACGGUCCAGACUCCUACGGGAGGCAGCAGUGGGGAAUAUUGCACAAUGGGCGCAAGCCUGAUGCAGCCAUGCCGCGUGUAUGAAGAAGGCCUUCGGGUUGUAAAGUACUUUCAGCGAGGAGGAAGGCGUUGUGGUUAAUAACCACAGCGAUUGACGUUACUCGCAGAAGAAGCACCGGCUAACUCCGUGCCAGCAGCCGCGGUAAUACGGAGGGUGCAAGCGUUAAUCGGAAUUACUGGGCGUAAAGCGCACGCAGGCGGUUUGUUAAGUCAGAUGUGAAAUCCCCGGGCUCAACCUGGGAACUGCAUUUGAAACUGGCAAGCUUGAGUCUCGUAGAGGGGGGUAGAAUUCCAGGUGUAGCGGUGAAAUGCGUAGAGAUCUGGAGGAAUACCGGUGGCGAAGGCGGCCCCCUGGACAAAGACUGACGCUCAGGUGCGAAAGCGUGGGGAGCAAACAGGAUUAGAUACCCUGGUAGUCCACGCCGUAAACGAUGUCUACUUGGAGGUUGUGCCCUUGAGGCGUGGCUUCCGGAGCUAACGCGUUAAGUAGACCGCCUGGGGAGUACGGCCGCAAGGUUAAAACUCAAAUGAAUUGACGGGGGCCCGCACAAGCGGUGGAGCAUGUGGUUUAAUUCGAUGCAACGCGAAGAACCUUACCUGGUCUUGACAUCCACGGAAGUUUUCAGAGAUGAGAAUGUGCCUUCGGGAACCGUGAGACAGGUGCUGCAUGGCUGUCGUCAGCUCGUGUUGUGAAAUGUUGGGUUAAGUCCCGCAACGAGCGCAACCCUUAUCCUUUGUUGCCAGCGGUUAGG
This 1137-nucleotide ribosomal RNA is filed under the name Salmonella enterica. RNAcentral's name for it is "bacterial SSU rRNA". It matches the Rfam family "Bacterial small subunit ribosomal RNA", at positions 1 to 1129 of the family's 1533-position model. The record is from RNAcentral. RNAcentral also lists the same sequence under 1 other name. Lineage: Bacteria; Pseudomonadati; Pseudomonadota; Gammaproteobacteria; Enterobacterales; Enterobacteriaceae.